GACAGAAGGUACGGGCGUUACUCGUUUUGAUUGGGUGUAAAGGGUACGUAGGUGGCUUAUAACUUUUAAAGGAGAAAGAGCGGGGUGACUCCCACGCUGCAACCUUUUCUUAAGUAAGCUAGAGUUGGACAUAGGUCGGGGGAAAUUCCUGUGUAAGGGUAGAAUCUAAACAUUCAGGAAUGAACGACAGCUGGCGAAGGCGCCCUUCUAGGUUCAACUGACGCUAAGGUACGGAAGCUUAGGGAGCAAACGGG
This 254-nucleotide unclassified non-coding RNA is filed under the name uncultured bacterium. RNAcentral describes it as "contains 16S-23S intergenic spacer region". It matches the Rfam family "Bacterial small subunit ribosomal RNA", at positions 524 to 776 of the family's 1533-position model. The record is from RNAcentral.